AUAUAUCUAGCCAAUUAUUUAGAAUACAAUAUGCAUGCUUGAAUAUUUGAGCCGCUCUUUCCCAACAGGAACACAAUAAUAUAACAAAUAAAAGACAGAUCUGCAUUGUGUCAGCUUCGUGUAAGGGAGUUUGAACCUUAGUUUUUUUUUUAAAGUUUCUUCAAUUAUUGACUGCAAAUAUACCUAUUUUAUCAAUAUCAGUACCGCAUAAAAAUUUAAAACUGAUGAACUCUCGGGUCCUAGUAGUCCACCAGAAAAUAGACGAUACGAACCAUUUACGAAAACAAAACUCAUGAUACUUAGAUAAAGAGAAAAGAUUAGCUUUUCUUUGCUUCAAGUCUUGAAAAGUAACUUCUAACAUUUGUCCGCAUUGAUUGAACAUUUGACGUCAUGAUUAUCACGAAACAUUUCCUUAUAUAAAUAUAUAUAGAACUAACACACAUUGUCA
This 448-nucleotide long non-coding RNA is filed under the name Mytilus galloprovincialis (Mediterranean mussel). Lineage: Eukaryota; Metazoa; Mollusca; Bivalvia; Mytilida; Mytilidae. The record is from RNAcentral.